UGCAAGUCGAGGGGCAGCACGGUGUAGCAAUACACUGGUGGCGACCGGCGCACGGGUGAGUAACACGUGUGCAACCAACCCCGUACCGGGAGAUAACCCGCGGAAACGUGGACUAACAUCCCAUGAUACUCGAGAGCCGCAUGGCUCUAGAUUUAAAAUUCCGGUGGUACGGGACGGGCACGCGCGACAUUAGGUAGUUGGCGGGGUAAGGGCCCACCAAGCCGACGAUGUCUAGGGGUUCUGAGAGGAAGGUCCCCCACACUGGAACUGAGACACGGUCCAGACUCC
This 288-nucleotide ribosomal RNA is filed under the name uncultured bacterium. Its description in RNAcentral is "partial 16S ribosomal RNA". It matches the Rfam family "Bacterial small subunit ribosomal RNA", at positions 56 to 339 of the family's 1533-position model. The record is from RNAcentral.